CAGUGCCACAUCCACAUGAGGCCAUUAUAGAGAAAGAACCUGCAGCUCAGUUUAAGUAGUGUGUCUCCCAUCUGUUUGAAAAACAAGCAAAAAACCAAAUAAACAAAUAGGAUGUCACAAGGUGAGGUAUGCUCUAAAUCUCAAGCUUUGGGAGUACUUCAGGAUAGGAAGAAAGCAAUUCUAGCCUUUAUGAUUCUGAGUUUUACAUGAAGUUGUGAAAAUAAGGACAGUAGAGCCAGUGUGCUGCUGCAAACUCUUGACUGUGGCAAAUCCAUGCUGUAUGAACCUUGGUUUGAUUGAGGUCUGCUUUUCUUUUCUCCUCACCUCCUCUUGAGUCUUGCUUCAGAAGCUGAGUCGUAUUGGAGAAUUCACAUGGAAGCCCAGAAUAUCUCCUUGAGUUUUCUGAUUACUUCAUACUCUUUUGAAGGGAGAGAAGGAGAUGAAGUAAUACGAUAAGAUAAUUUAGUAAUUUAUGGGUAAUUCUGAGAAAUUGAAACCAUAAGAUGUGUGCUCAGAGCAAAAUACAAUAGAUGGACCAUGAGUCAAAUGUUUUAUGACAACCUAAUGCCAAAUGUCAUUUGAAAACUCAAAUUGUACCAAACCAAACAUUUACAUCAUGAAAGCCAGUAAGUAGAAAUCUUAAAUUGUUUUCGCCCUUCGUGCUGCAGGCUAUACUAGGUGGAGACUAUUAACCCAUGACUUGAGAUGGCAAUCUAAAAAUUCCUUUUAAAAAUACUUUAAAAUUAUUAAUCCUUUACAUAUUUAGCAAUAUCGUUCUCCAAAGAUCGAAAAGUAGUACCCUAUUAUUUUGUGCCUGACAUUGAGGAAAACAGGUGUUGCUUUAUCUUCGGAUGGGGGAGAUUGGGGGUGUUCAUGUAGCAGGAGCAUGUGCUUCUCUUAUAAAGUGAGACCCAUGAGGAGAGGCAGGUGAGGGUUUGUCUGGUGAAGUACUGUCAACAUGAAAACAAGAGUCAUAAGGCCAACCUAUUAUGUUAUCUGUUGUAAUGAUAACAUAACAUCACUGUAAAAGGAAGUCGGGCUGGGAAGAUUUCACACAAACAGUUAAAUGAAGGAAAUACAUCUAAAUCAAACUGAUUUGGAAUAUAUUUGGAAAUCAUCAUUUACUUGUUAUUAGAACCCAUUCUCUGCAUUAGCCAAAGUUCUCUGGUAGUCCAUUAUCAACAACCUGGGGACGUUUGUACAAGAUGUGGUAUUUGUCCUGGAAUCCAGGAAAAUCCAAGUUCCUCCACAUACUAGCAUAUAAACUGAAGCCAGAGAAGAGGACUGGGAAGCUCAGAGCAUCAGAUUCCCUAACCCCUGUUUUUAUUUUCUGUCAUAACUUACUACAACAAAAUUCAUAGCUAAAAAACAGGGAUUUAUUCCCUCUUGUUUUUUGACACUUGAAGUCUAAACUCAAGGUGCUGGUGGGGCCACACUUCCUCUGAAAGUUCUAGGGAGAAUCCCCACUUUCCCCUUUCCACUUCAAGUGGAUGCUGGCUUUCCUCAGCUUGUGGCAGUGUAACAACAGUCUCUACCUGCUCUUCUCUGUGUCUGUGUAUCCUCUCUUCUUCUCAUAAGGGCAACAUUCAUUGGAGUAAGGGACCCCCUAAGUCCAGAAUGUUUUCAUUUCAAGAAAUUUAAUUAAUUAUGUUUGCAAAGACCCUAUUUCUGAAUAAGGUCAUAUUUUCAGGUCCUGCCUGGACAGGAAGUUUUGAGGGGCAUGAUUCAACCCACUGCACCCAUAAAUUGAGUUGGCAAUUCUUAACUUGUAAGAUCAUUACCAUGAUUGAAAACCUGCCACAUAAAGUGAUUCAUUGUAGGUGAUCAAUAAAUUCUUUGUUUUUAGUGAUACUGCUAUAAUUAUCUCUAUUCUUUACCAAAAUGGGUCUGGAUAUUGAAAUAUAGGUUCAAUUCUUACUCUGUUUUAGGCAUUGAUUAUGUAAGUAGCUUGCAAUAUACAA
This is a long non-coding RNA of Sciurus carolinensis (gray squirrel), 1961 nucleotides long. RefSeq lists it as uncharacterized. The transcript is spliced from 3 exons. NCBI's taxonomy places the organism in Eukaryota, Metazoa, Chordata, Mammalia, Rodentia, Sciuridae. The record is from RefSeq and is a predicted model, not a curated record.